Molecule: ribosomal RNA, 253 nt
Filed under: uncultured bacterium
Lineage: Bacteria
Description: partial 16S ribosomal RNA
Rfam family: Bacterial small subunit ribosomal RNA
Source: RNAcentral
UACAGAGGAUGCAAGCGUUAUCCGGAAUGAUUGGGCGUAAAGCGUCUGUAGGUGGCUUUUUAAGUCCGCCGUCAAAUCCCAGGGCUCAACUCUGGACAGGCGGUGGAAACUACCAAGCUGGAGUACGGUAGGGGCAGAGGGAAUUUCCGGUGGAGCGGUGAAAUGCGUAGAGAUCGGAAGGAACGCCGGUGGCGAAAGCGACGCGCUGGACCUCUUCUGACGCUGAGGCGCGAAAGCCAGGGGAGCAAACGGG